This 299-nucleotide ribosomal RNA is filed under the name uncultured bacterium. RNAcentral's name for it is "partial 16S ribosomal RNA". It matches the Rfam family "Bacterial small subunit ribosomal RNA", at positions 475 to 776 of the family's 1533-position model. The record is from RNAcentral.
CUAUGCGCCUUGCCAGCCCGCUCAGGUGUGCCAGCCGCCGCGGUAAUACGUAGGUGGCAAGCGUUAUCCGGAUUUAUUGGGUGUAAAGGGCGUGUAGGCGGGAAUGCAAGUCAGAUGUGAAAACUAUGGGCUCAACCCAUAGCCUGCAUUUGAAACUGUAUUUCUUGAGUGCUGGAGAGGCAAUCGGAAUUCCGUGUGUAGCGGUGAAAUGCGUAGAUAUACGGAGGAACACCAGUGGCGAAGGCGGAUUGCUGGACAGUAACUGACGCUGAGGCGCGAAAGCGUGGGGAGCAAACAGG